RNAcentral lists this transfer RNA (69 nucleotides) under Pheidole flavens. RNAcentral's name for it is "tRNA-Asn". The record is from RNAcentral. Lineage: Eukaryota; Metazoa; Arthropoda; Insecta; Hymenoptera; Formicidae.
UUAAUUAAAACCAAAAUAGAGGUAAAUUAUUGUUAAUAAUUUUAAUGAAUUUUUUUAAUUCUAAUUAAA